CAGUAGCCGCGGGAAUACGUAGGUGGCAAGCGUUGUCCGGAAUUAUUGGGCGUAAAGGGCUCGCAGGCGGUUUCUUAAGUCUGAUGUGAAAGCCCCCAGCUCAACCGGGGAGGGUCAUUGGAAACUGGGAAACUUGAGUGCAGAAGAGGAGAGUGGAAUUCCACGUGUAGCGGUGAAAUGCGUAGAGAUGUGGAGGAACACCAGUGGCGAAGGCGACUCUCUGGUCUGUAACUGACGCUGAGGAGCGAAAGCGCGGGGAGCGAACAGGAUUAGAUACCCGGGUAGUCCCUGUCUCUUAUAA
This 301-nucleotide ribosomal RNA is filed under the name uncultured bacterium. Its description in RNAcentral is "partial 16S ribosomal RNA". It matches the Rfam family "Bacterial small subunit ribosomal RNA", at positions 509 to 809 of the family's 1533-position model. The record is from RNAcentral.